UUUACGGGAGGCAGCAGUCGGGAAUAUUGUGCAAUGGGCGAAAGCCUGACACAGCCAUGCCGCGUGUGUGAAGAAGGCCUUAGGGUUGUAAAGCACUUUCAGUAAGGAAGAAAAAGCCGAGCCAAUAACUCGGUAAUAUGACAUUACUUACAGAAGAAGCACCGGCUAACUCCGUGCCAGCAGCCGCGGUAAU
This 193-nucleotide ribosomal RNA is filed under the name uncultured bacterium. RNAcentral's name for it is "partial 16S ribosomal RNA". It matches the Rfam family "Bacterial small subunit ribosomal RNA", at positions 338 to 524 of the family's 1533-position model. The record is from RNAcentral.